Molecule: small nuclear RNA, 266 nt
Filed under: Oryctolagus cuniculus (rabbit)
Lineage: Eukaryota; Metazoa; Chordata; Mammalia; Lagomorpha; Leporidae
Description: 7SK RNA
Rfam family: 7SK RNA
About the family: 7SK was discovered as an abundant small nuclear RNA in the mid-70s but a possible function has only recently been suggested.
Source: Rfam by way of RNAcentral
GGAUGUGAGGGCGAUCUGGCUGCGACAUCUGUCACCCCUUUGAUCGCCAGGGUUGAUUCGGCUGAUCUGGCUGGCUAGGCGGGUGUCCCCUCCCUCCCUCACCGCUCCAUGUGCGUCCCUCCAGAAGCUGCGCGCUCGGUCGAAGAGGACAACCUUCCCCGCUAGAGAACCGGUCUUUGGUCAAGGGUAUACGAGUAGCUGCGCUCCCCUGCUAUAACCUCCAAACAAGCUCUCAAAGAGGGGAGUUGCAAGGGGAGGUUAUGGGU